CCUACGGGUGGCUGCAGUGGGGAAUAUUGGACAAUGGGCGCAAGCCUGAUCCAGCAAUGCCGCGUGUGUGAAGAAGGCCUUCGGGUUGUAAAGCACUUUUAUCAGGAGCGAAAUGCCAUGGGCCAAUACCCCGUGGAGCUGACGGUACCUGAGGAAUAAGCACCGGCUAACUUCGUGCCAGCAGCCGCGGUCAUACGAAGGGUAAUUACGUUAAUCGGAAUUACUGGGCGUGAAGGGUGCAGUGUCGGGUGAAAUCCCCGGGCUCAACCUGGGAAUGGCAAUGGAUACUGGCGGGCUAGAGUGUGUCAGAGGAUGGUGGAAUUCCCGGUGUAGCGGUGAAAUGCGUAGAGAUCGGGAGGAACAUCAGUGGCGAAGGCGGCCAUCUGGGACAACACUGACGCUGAAGCACGAAAGCGUGGGGAGCAAACAGGAUUAGAUACCCGUGUAGUC
This 450-nucleotide ribosomal RNA is filed under the name uncultured bacterium. RNAcentral's name for it is "partial 16S ribosomal RNA". It matches the Rfam family "Bacterial small subunit ribosomal RNA", at positions 338 to 795 of the family's 1533-position model. The record is from RNAcentral.